UAUUAUAGGUGGAGCAACAUGAGUGCGUGAAGUGGGUCAGGAGAGGAAUCUAGCAGCCCUAAGCGAUUUCUUGUGUGUGCUCUUUUUUGUAACUAGU
Streptococcus urinalis 2285-97 is the source of this 97-nucleotide non-coding RNA. The record is from Rfam. Lineage: Bacteria; Bacillati; Bacillota; Bacilli; Lactobacillales; Streptococcaceae.